GAUGAACGCUGGCGGCGUGCCUAAUACAUGCAAGUCGAGCGAACGGACGAGAAGCUUGCUUCUCUGAUGUUAGCGGCGGACGGGUGAGUAACACGUGGAUAACCUACCUAUAAGACUGGGAUAACUUCGGGAAACCGGAGCUAAUACCGGAUAAUAUUUUGAACCGCAUGGUUCAAAAGUGAAAGACGGUCUUGCUGUCACUUAUAGAUGGAUCCGCGCUGCAUUAGCUAGUUGGUAAGGUAACGGCUUACCAAGGCAACGAUGCAUAGCCGACCUGAGAGGGUGAUCGGCCACACUGGAACUGAGACACGGUCCAGACUCCUACGGGAGGCAGCAGUAGGGAAUCUUCCGCAAUGGGCGAAAGCCUGACGGAGCAAUGCCGCGUGAGUGAUGAAGGUCUUCGGAUCAUAAAACUCUGUUAUUAGGGAAGAACAUAUGUGUAAGUAACUGUGCACAUCUUGACGGUACCUAAUCAGAAAGCCACGGCUAACUACGUG
This 497-nucleotide ribosomal RNA is filed under the name uncultured bacterium. RNAcentral describes it as "partial 16S ribosomal RNA". It matches the Rfam family "Bacterial small subunit ribosomal RNA", at positions 28 to 507 of the family's 1533-position model. The record is from RNAcentral.